Spodoptera litura is the source of this 6012-nucleotide RNA transcript. RefSeq lists it as uncharacterized. The record is from RefSeq and is a predicted model, not a curated record. Lineage: Eukaryota; Metazoa; Arthropoda; Insecta; Lepidoptera; Noctuidae.
GGCCUCGAACUUAACCCAAAAACCUAGAUUCCAGUACAUCAAUAAAAACGCUAGCUUUUGUUUUGUAUCUUGAAUUGAAACGUCAAACUAUUUCAAAAAUGUCCACACAAAGCCGUUACACAACGUAAAUAUUAUAAAUUGCGAUGUUUUUAUUGUUAAUUGUUAUAAAUUACAAUAAAAACCAGGAACUUUAUUGAGCUAUAUUAAUGAAUUAUGGAAAGAGAUGAGGUCGACAAAACAAAUGAUGCGGGGACUUCGAACGUCAUAGAUUCUAGCGGUGCUGUGAAUUCUUUGAUACUCGAUUAUUACAAAAAGUUUGGUAGGAAGAGGGAUUUAGAGCAGUAUUUCUCUUUAUCUACGGCUCAGAGUGAUAUAAAAGACACAAGUGGUUUGUUUUGGCGUAAAAUGAAGAGUGAAAAUGAUUCUUCUGAUUCCGGUGGUAGAAAAAGUGAUUCUUCUCAAGAAGUUUGCAGAAUCUCCAUAAGGUGCUCGCUGCCUGAACCUAUGAGUUCACAGGAUGAUGAGGAACAAAAAACAAAGACUGAUUCCCCGCACACAGAAUCUCCUCCGAUCAUCAUUGAGGAAUUACCCGCUGAUGUAUCAAGACAGACUGAUGAUGAAUCCUUACACUUUGAUGACAAUAACUCACAGAAAUCAUUAGAUACACUUCUCGACAUAUCUGCUCACAAACCGCUUUCCCCAACAAGUAGUAUAACUUCUCAGAGAAAACUAGAAUGGGACUCACUUGCUGAUGUAGGAUACGGCAAUGAAAGUGACAGAAAGAACUCAGCAUCAAGCCUUAGCACUUUAGAAAGACUCGCUUUAAAACAACAAUAUUCCAACAAUGAUUCGAAACAAGAAAUUGGUAUACCCACUUCCCAUUCCACUCCGCUUGAUGAAAAUGAGAACAAAUCUAAAAUUAAAAAAGGCAUAGGAAAGAAAACAAAGUUUUAUAAAAAAGAUGUUGAUUUCGUUGAAGUGAAUGUUCCACAUACUUCUGACGCAAAUCCUCCUCCGUCCAUCAAUGUCAAUCUUACUAAACACAUUUCUUUCAAUGUUGAAAGAGAUGGUGGUGUUACUAUUGAUAAUGUUAAGAAGGAUGUCAGUGUUUCAUCUCCCGAAAAAGUCAGUGUAGACACAUCUUAUGUAGGCAUGGAUAAAGAAAUACAAACUACAUUGCCUUUAAACAAACCAAAGGAGAAGUCAAGCAGUCCAGAUGAAGCCCCAAAACCAGUUGAUCCUUACAAUCAGAAGAUUCCAGUAAUGAUCAGCUUAAAUACGUUAAGAAAGAGAUUGAGAAAGAAAAAGGCAAGGAGUGUGAGAAGAAAAUUAAGAACUAGAAAGCAGAAAGAGGUUAAUAAGGAUGAGACACCACAAGAGAAAAGUGGAGCUCAGUUGUCAGAAGCGGAGAGUUUUGAAUACAUGCCUGGGCAUGUGUAUAAUCAGAAUAAGCUAAAAGACAAUGCACCAAGGCUGGACAAUAGUGCUGCUGGGAACAAAUCCAGCCUAGAGUCCAGCGGUCUCACUACAGAUUCUAGUAAAGGAUCCAAACAUUCCAUCACCAAAGACUUAGAACAAUGUGUUGAGCUAUUAAAACAUACUUUGCAAAAGCGCUAUGACGAUGGAGAUAUGAAGAGAAAGCUGAUAAAAGAUAUUGUCGACAGAUUAGUCAGUUCAAAGUAUAGAAAUGAUUAUAAUUCUGACUUUUUGUCUGGUGUCAGCAGUAAGAGAAUGGGUAUGAUAGGAAAUAAUACUACAACAAGCACUUCUGAUGCUAAUAACACUGAAGAUAGUUCAAAUAAAAAGCCAAAGAAAUCUAUUCUACGAAGCGAAAAAUUCAACCCUAAUGUUGUAGCUUCAACGUCUCAAAGUGCCCCAAACUUAUUCAGUGCGUCUAUUGAAAAGGUUACUUCAAACUUAAUUAAGCCUGUAGCUUCUAAUACUGAAUCAGAUGUGUCUAGUAAAGAAAAGACUUCUUCGGAAAAUGGUUUCCCUAAAACUUCAUCUGAAGAACUGUAUUUAAAGUACCUAGAAGCUCUUAGACGUGAAGAAGCUUACAAAAAGCAUUUGAAGGAUAAAGAAAUGUUCUUGAAACAGAAAUUAGUGAAGUCUGAUACAUCUUUCAAAGUACCUGUACGCCAAGAAGCGAAAAUUAAUAGUCGAUUGAAAGAUUUGAUGAAAGACUUGACAAGAAACAACUAUGAUGAUGGAUCAGGAGAUGCUAGUAAAUUAGAAGGGGGCUCUUCUAUCAAUUUGGACAUAGACAGGUUAAGUGCCAUACGAAACCAAAGAAGUCACUCUGUGUUUACUCUUUCCUCGAGUCAAUCUGAUGCCCCUAAGCGGCCGAAUCUGAAAAAGAAAUUGCAGGCUGAAAGGGAAAUAGAAGAAGCUGGUCCAAGUCAAAGUCAUUAUUGUUGUUGUCCUCACCAUUACUUAAACACCAAACCGGAGUUUUCAGACAGUUCUGUUCAGGUGAAUAUUAAAAAUUGUGGCGACGAUAUUCCAGUUGAAAUACCUUGCCCGAGUAAAGGAAAAAGUUGUUUGAUAAUGCCAGGCGAUAGCAAGAAAUCCAAAUCGGAAUGCCCCAAAAAUACUCGCGUUGUUCCCGACAGUCAUACGAGUGACAUUAAGUACGUUUGUCUCUGUGGUGGUAAACAAGUUUGUGCGUCUGAAGUGGGCGAUAAUUUUAUGAUAUACAGGUGUUCUAAAUUGACCAAUUGUGGCAUACAGCCCGAAAAUCCUUUGAGAAUCAAUAAUACUGCUAUUCAAUGUGGAUGUUGUGACAUUAAAGAUGAUAAAAUUGAAUUACUACAACCGCCCUGUAAGAUGAAUACUUGUACAGAUAGCAGUUGUUCGGAUCAUACGUCAAAUCCUCAGAAACAUUCGAAAUCUUCUCAAACGAACAUGCUCAUUAAUAUGUGCAUGAGUAACUUCAAAUCUUCGAGUUCCGAAAUAAAAUUAUGUGGAACCGCCACUAAAAGUAUUGUGUGUCCGAAAAAAUACUUUGUAUCUGAAGCCACUAGAUGCCUUCAGACCGAGAUUAGUAUUAACCCUCAAAUCGCUGAUCCUAGGUUAUCUGACAUCAAUAUUAUUUGUAACAACGAAUGCGCUAGACUUGUUUGUGAGCAACGUAGAAGAGUUUCUGCGUUCAGUAUUGAAUCGGAAGGAGGAAAAACGUUCAGCGAUGUCAGUACUAACAGCACAUCAGACAAACUUUUAAUACAGUCUGGAGGUAGUUGUUGUAAAUCAGAAAUAUUAUCUAAACAAGGAAGCGAAGAUAAAGACUCUAAAAAAAGCUCAAUGAUCGGAAAAGAUUAUACAAUACCCAUUGUUGGUACUAAUAUGACUUUGACAGUUAAUUUGGGCCCUGAUUAUGUUGAAAAUGCCGGCCCAGUUGAAGCAGGCGUGGUUACUGAGAAGAUAUCACAAGCUGAUCAAGAAACGUUAGCGAUUGGUGAAGUGUCAAGAUCUGCUCAAUGUUGCCUGAACCCAGAGUGCACAAAAAAUUCUAAAACAGAUUCUGCGGUUUCGUCCAAAACCUGCUGUUUAAAUAAUAAGUCUUCUGGCAUUACUUUUAAUACGUAUCCGGCUGAAAAAGUGAAGGCAAAAACUCCUUUCUUAAGAUCAAAUACAGAUAUAGACAAAAGAUUAUCAAUAAACACGUGCAUUCAAACUGAUGAGAUUCGAACAAAAGAUAUGGAAACUAAUAACAAUCAAGAAACUGGAAUAUAUAGCAACUCAUCAGUUAACACUUCCGACAAUAGUAGUCAAGUAGAGGACCAGGUACAAACCGUCAACGUAGCACUAACAAAAGGAUUCAGAAUUGGUAGAAAUACAAAAGAUAAUAAUAAAACGGAUAGUAACAGACCUGAAAGUGGAAAAGCCGAUUGUUGUAGCUCGAAACGUAAAAACACGGAUGGUAGUACAAUAGGAAGUACAAAAAGCAAUAAGAAUGAAUCAAAAACUGACAGUGGCAAGGCGGAUGGCUGUAGUUCGAAAAACAAAAAAACGGACAGUAGCAAACCGGACAGUGCAAGAAGCAAUAAGAGUGAAUCAAAAAGUGAUAGUGAUAAAGCCGAUUGUUGUAGGUCGAAAAAUAAAAAUGCGGAUAGUAGCCAAACUGAUAGUACAAGAAGUAAUAAGAAUGAACCAAGAUAUGAAAGUGGCAAAGGCGAUUACUAUAGUUCGAAAAAUAAAAAGAGUGACAGUAGCAGCCCAAACAGUCCAAGAAGUAAUAAAAAUAAAUCGCUGAAUAGAAUUGACAAAGUAAAUGUAGGUGUACAAAAAGAUUUACCAACUGAACGAGUUAAAACAAAAAAUGUCGACGUGGAAACUAAUGAUAUACCCACAAAAAAUGUAAGCAUUGAAACUGAGAAUAGAGAAGAAUCUGGCUCAAAUGCGUGUUGUCAGACGGAAGAUAAAGAAAAGCCUUCUUCCCAAGAAAAACACAGGAUCCAUGAAGAGAAAGAAAAGGUCAAUAUUCUGAACAAUACUGAUCAACCCUUUGGCAAUGAGCCAAAAGAUAGAAAUUUACCUGAAAGUUGUUGUUUCAAUGUCAACUGUCCUCAUAAUUUUGAUUCCAAAGGACCCAUCAUAGACAUGAUACAAGACAUAACACGACGAUAUUCCAAAAAAGACAUGAUAAAGAUUAAAAAGAACAAAUGCUUUUCGGAAAUAAUUACAGUACUGAACUAUCUUUUGGAGACAGACGAUAGUACAGAUCCGGAACGAAAGACUUGUUGUAGCACGAGUACGGAUACGAAAUUAAGUUCAGACAAGGGAAAGAGGAGUAAACUGUCUGAGUGUUGUUCGGAUCAAAUGGUGGAUAAAAGCGUUCAGCUUUCGUGCACGAAAUCUAAAGUGACUCGAGUAUGCACGGAUUCCUCCGAUCUCCCUUGUUCUUCAGACUUACCUACGACUUCAUCAGAUUCCGCUGCCUGCAAAGUACUAAACAAGAUCAAGAAGGAAUGCGAGAAAUUUCACCAAAAAGUCAAAUGCAAGGGCAGAAAAUGUGAAGUUUCCAGCAGCACUUCUGUCAACUGCGAAAGAUGCAAGAAAAUUCACCAUUGUGCCUGCAGGACCCACAAGUGUAAACGAUCGAAGGCCUUUGAGAAGUUGCAGAAGAAAUGUAUCGCUUACAACUUGAUUAUACAGACUUCGGAGAGUAUGUUGAGCGAGGAAACAGUUUGUGAGAACAAAAGUCGUCCUCUUAAGAAUAUUAUUUUGAAAGUCCCGAAAAAAGGGAAGAAGGAGGGUUGUUAUAAAGUGGAACAAGAAUGUCGACGGCCGAGUCCAGUAUGCAGUCCAAAAUGUAGUAAAAAUAGGCCGAGGAGUUGUUGCCACGAGAGCGAAACAUCUGAUGAAUAUGCCAAGAGAAUGGAGAUGGCGACUGUUAGAGAAUAUUUGGAACAGAAUCGCCCGGACUUUGUGAAGAAGACAUCUCAAAGGCAGGAUUGUUUGAAGUUCAUCAGUGAAAAAAGACAUGUACGAGACCGAUACAUCCCAAGUUUGAAAAUGGUCGUUGUACACAAACCUAGAUGUAUGGGUAAUGUGUCAUCUGCCCCUGUUUACUGUGGAGGUAUGUGCUACAAAAGUUGUGAUUCAGUUGAGUCAUGUAUCCCCUAUGCGAGCGCUCCCUGUGUAUCAUGUAAUCCAUGUGAACUUACCAAGCCGUGCAUGCCAACCAAUACGUGCAAAUGCACACCAAAUCCUUGCGAUCCUUGCAAUCCUUGCUACGGUUCUUGUAAACCUUGUGUCGAUCCUUGUAACAUGCGUUCCUUGCAAACUAUUGAGCCAGUGAACGGGCAUCAAAACGAGACUUGUUAUCGAUGCACGUGGAAAAACAACCAGAUUUAACGAAGCUCACUUCUGAGGAGCUACAGCAACUUGCCAAGGAUAUCGGAUUUGAUUUGCGAAACAAAAGAACUGCCCCAAAAUUCAUUAAUGAACGUGAAAUGAAAAAACAUUCGGAGAAGAUUUACAAAACUUUGCCAGAAGUGGUGCAAAAGAAGG